This 445-nucleotide ribosomal RNA is filed under the name uncultured bacterium. RNAcentral describes it as "partial 16S ribosomal RNA". It matches the Rfam family "Bacterial small subunit ribosomal RNA", at positions 354 to 796 of the family's 1533-position model. The record is from RNAcentral.
GUGAGGAAUAUUGGUCAAUGGGCGGAAGCCUGAACCAGCCAUCCCGCGUGAAGGAAGGCGGCCCUAUGGGUUGUAAACUUCUUUAGUACAUGAAGAACAGGAUCUACGAGUAGGUUUAUGACGGUAAUGUACAAAAAAGCAUCGGCUAACUCCGUGCCAGCAGCCGCGGUAAUACGGAGGAUGCGAGCGUUAUCCGGAUUCAUUGGGUUUAAAGGGUACGUAGGUGGCCCUGUAAGUCAGUGGUGAAAAUCUGCCGCUUAACGGUAGGGGUGACGAUGAUACUGCGGAGCUUGAGUACAGUUGAGGUAGGUGGAAUGUGUAGUGUAGCGGUGAAAUGCAUAGAUAUUACACAGAACUCCGAUUGCGAAGGCAUCUUACUAAGCUGAAACUGACACUGAUGUACGAAAGCGUGGGGAUCGAACAGGAUUAGAUACCCGUGUAGUCC